This 10915-nucleotide long non-coding RNA is filed under the name Coffea arabica (coffee). RNAcentral describes it as "long non-coding RNA (CARA_LNC001323)". Lineage: Eukaryota; Viridiplantae; Streptophyta; Magnoliopsida; Gentianales; Rubiaceae. The record is from RNAcentral.
CAUGAGAUGUCUUAUUGCAUUUUUAAAAAGAUUAUCAUGAUUUUUUCAGUAGCCUUAGAGAUUGAUACUCGAAGAGGUAGGAAUACAACAUGAGAGAUCAUUAAUUAUUAAUACAAUCAAAUUGAUCUUCUUCGGAACUUUUUUUUUCUUUUGGUCGGAGGGAGUGGGGCUGGUGGUGGAAUUUGAAGCGAACAACUCACAAUGAUAUCCUUCUGGGGUCUCAUUUCAACAUCAGUCUCCUGAUUCACUUUCACAUGUGGCAGUCAAGCCUAUCCAGAGCAGGAAUAAUUUUUCUCAGCCUUAAUCCAUUGGACCAAAUUGUUGAAAUUCUUGCCAGAGCUCCCAUCUUUGGUAACACUGUUGAUAACCUUGGUUUUUAAUUUUAAGGCCCUUUUUUUGUAUUCUCCAACAGUGAGAAGCUGCUCAAUUUUAUUCUUUAUUUCUUCUCGUGCAAUGAUUCCAUUUGCAUCUCGUUCAAAUCCUAAACCGAUCUUCCAAACAUCACAUAUGUAUUUCUCAUUAAGGAACUGAUCUGCAAAGUAAGGCCAACAGAGGAAAGGAACACCACUGCUCAAACCUUCGAUCGUAGAGUUCCAACCACAAUGGCUGAGGAAGCAAGCCACCGAAGGAUGGCUCAAGACCUGUUGCUGAGGUGCCUAGCCUGCUAGUAGCCCACGGCCUUGUAUUCGAUCUUUGAAGCCUUCAGGAUAUGCAUUGUCUGUCUCGGUAGUUAAAUCUUGCCUCACAACCCACAAGAAUGGCCUAUUGAUGAGUUCAAGCCCAAGUGCCAGCUCUCUGAAUUGUGUCGGAUCAAAAACUGUGAAGCUCCCAAAUGCAACAUAAAUGACAGAUUGCGGAGGCUGCUUAUCAAGCCAUGCCAAGCAAUCUGAAUCUUCAGGCCAGAAGGAGCCAACCGAUUUUCCAAGUCGAUUACUUGCCAAAAGAGGGCCUACAGGUAGUAUUUGAGGAAAUAAAGUGAAGGCUGCCGCCUCUAAUUCACAACUUGUAUUGCAAAUCAACCAAUCUGCCAGUUUAACUAGUGUGUUAGAUUUUAAAAAGGUAUCAAAAGAAAAUUUUUGUAAUGUGAGAUCACUAAAGCAGGUCCAAACAAGAUGUUCAGGCUUCAUCUCUGGCAUGGUAGGUGACAACUUUACCAUCUGGUUCUUCAACACGGUACCUGCACUAAAAAGCUUGACGUGUUUAGAAACUUUUCAACUGAAUACAAAAUAGCAAAAUGUAGAACCGAUAGUACUAAUGCGUGUUCUGAUGAUUAGCAGUUUGAUGACUGCAAUUAAAUUUAUCUUCUUUCUCUAAUGGUGCUGGCAAGGAAUUAUCUAAAAUGAGUCAAUCUUACCAGUGCUACUUAUGAUUCCAUCAUCCAUGAGCUUUGGGAUGCUGAAUAUCUGUGCCAAUAGUGAAGCUGACGCUGGCCAGAAGGCUACCGCCUUGAUUCUCAUUUUCUUUGCAAUCUCUAGUGCCCAUCCCAUAGUCUCAUCAGCAAUAAUGCAUGUGAUUUUAUCACAGUCAGAUUGAUUUAUGCUCUUUAUUAGACACUCCAGAUUCGCAGGCAUGACCUGGUAAACUGAUAGCGUCAGUUUGAUCAGGUCAUUUCUGUCCUCCCAGGAUUCCAAUCCAUCUGGGAUUGACACCAGUUGCAUCAUAGCUGGUACUUUGUCCUCCUGUGAUAAUGAUUUGAUAACUCUCUUGUGAUCGAAUUCAGAGUUCACAAUUGUUACUCUAAUACCCUGCCUGACUAAGCACAAGGCCAGUUCCAUUAAGGGAAGAACAUGACCUUGCGCUGGAUAAGGAAUGGCUAGAACAUGUGGAUGAGGAUGAUUCAUGAUAUUUUGUUGUUAUCUUAUCCUGCCUUUCCUCUAAUGCAGAAAUUGUAGUACAAGAACAGAAGAACUUCCACACUUCUCCCACCGUUUAUAGACUGCUUAGGAAAAUGCACGUGCAUUAUGCGUGUUGGAUAAUGAAGCAGAAUGUCAUUAUUCAAUUACGAAUUAACACUACUUAAUUUGCCUUAUGAAUUUAAAUAACAACAUUAGGAGUUGUGAGUUAAAAUUAUAAUUACAACACUUUGUUGAAUUACAACAACUAAUUCUUUAUAUGUGUUAUUUUUGCAAUUCUAGGUUUUACAUUGAUUCUUUUAUACGCAACUCCUUUGUCUAUAUUCCUCUAUGUCUUUGAUUAAGAAUACCCUUCACGUCUUAUUGUUAUUUGUCUUGUUGCGUUCUACACAUUUUAUAUUAACUUAAAGUUAAAAUAAAAUUUUUUAUGUGUCUUUAAAACUCCUUAAAUGAUCUAUAUGCUUUGCAAUUCUUAAAUACAUCCAAGGGGAGGGUCAGGUUGGAUGAUAAGGUGUAAGGGAUUAUAAGUAAUAGAUCUUGAACUCAAAAUCUCCCACUUAGGAAAAACAAUAUUUAGUCAUAAUUUAUCUUAUCAAAUUACAAUAAUGCUAAGUAGUCAAUUUGUACACACAUAAUUUAUUAAGUAUUCAGUCUUUGAAUGGCUAAAACUAAGGAGCAAAAGUUUUUACAUACAUCAGGUAUUGAACUUCUAAUUAAAUGGCCAACUGGUUUGAAAAAUAUAAAGUCUUCAUAUUCUGGCGCUCUGGAGCGUGCAAUAAUCCUGAUCAUACAAUAUUUUGUUGAAUAAUUUGAAAGAAACAGAGAAGAUACCUCCAAGAACAUUAUGAAAAACAAGAAAUAAAUUUGAAGGAGGAAUAGGUUGGAUUGUUCGAGGGGAGAGAAUGUAAGUGGGUUGGGUGGUUCGGAAGGGAAGGGAAUGUAAGUGAAAAGUCCCGCUUUUCUACUUAUACUAUAAAAAAAAACAUUUAAAAAAAAUCAAAUCUACAAAGUAGUUAUGUUUCUAAAAUUCUAGUAUUGCACCCAAAAAAGAAAAAUAAUCCAAUCCUACUUAUACUGAAUAGGAUACUUUAAAGUACUUAAAUUCUUGAAUAUAAAUUGAACAAGUUGAUUUAGUGUCUUACCAAUCACAGUAGUAAGUUGAAUCGAUUAUCAACUGUUUUCUUUAGUUAAGUCCACAUUUUACUAGAGGGCUAAUGUAAUUUUGCAUCUUUAGCGCAUAGGGAUCAACUAUUGAAAUUCAAGAAUAUUUUUCUAGGAUGAGGCGAAUUUCAGAAACUUUUGAAAUCGAAAUAACUUUAUACCCUGCUAAAAUGCACACUCUGAAGUGCUAAAUGGAUGGGCAUUAAAGAACCCCCUCUGUGGGCAUGAAAGACAUGCACAAUUAGUUCUGGUAUAGAAUUGAUUCCUAAGUCAAGGAAAUUUAUUUAGAACUUAUAACUACAACCAAUUAGAAAGGUAGAUAGCACAAUUAAUUUUGUGCCUUGAAUUUAUUUAGUAUUACAACACAUUGGGGAGAAAUUUAAUCCCUGAAUCAAGUACAGAUGAAAAUAAAGUAGGCUGAGAAGUUAAAAAUAUAUUUAAAAAAUGAAAAGGUCAUACUAAAAAGAACAACAAUGUUUUUGCCUUAGCAACUUGUAUCUCUUAACUUUAAUUUCUGUUCUUUUAGAGGCAAAAACUAAAGAAAUAAAAGCUAUAACCUAUGUGCAUAACUAAAAUUUAUAAUACCACAUUAUAACCAUAUUAAGAUAUUCCAAUAAAAAUUUAGUCCUACUUAAACUUCACUAGUAAUAGUUCAUGUGUUUUGCACGUGAUUGUAAUAUUUUAAAAUAUAUUAUUCUUUAGAUACUAAAAAUUUUUUAUGAAAUUUUGAUCAUCAACAUCAUAAUAUAGUAUUUUUAUGUUAUUUAUUUUUUAAGCUAGUUACUUUUAAAAAUUUUAUCAAAUGAAAAGAGAUAGAAAACAUUCCAAUAGUUGACAUGUCCCUUAGAAUUGAAUUUGGAAUCAUGUACCAAACACUUUCUGAUUUAUAGCUUGAAUUCUAACAUAUCAAAUAUUGAUAACAUCAUGUUUUACCAAAAUUAUUGUAUAUUCAUGGUUCUAUUGCAUAUAAACCACAAUCAUUGCAAUUUUUUUAUAAAUGAAGAAUAUAAUUAAGUUAAAAAAUAAAUAAACAAACAUGUAAUUUGAAUUCUUGAUAUUAUGUUAAUUCUAUUUUUGCCAAUAGUGGAGUAUAAAUCAUUCACGGCGUAAAGUUUUUUUUUGGCUUGUACAUUCUAACAAUUGAAAGUUUAUAGAUAGAGAUAGUUGGAGGUUUUCCAUUUUCCUUUUCUUUUAUUCAUAUUUUUAGCACAAUCCAAUGUGAAGCAAAAGCAACAAGUCUACUUUUUGCAUAUGAGCACAAUAUUUUUGGUUUUAGUAUUAGUUUUUUUUUUUUUGAUGAUCAUGGAAUUGGAAUGAGAAUUGUGGCUAAUUAACAAUUUUACUAUUAAUUUUUUUGUAUAUUGCAGUGUUUUAUUUUUUAAUUGCCAACUUUUAAUCCAUAAUCGCUAUCAUUAUUAUCAAUUAUUAGAAUCAAUUAUUGGAAUGCACUAAAUAUGUCUAAUUACAAUUGUCACCAUAAAUAAAAUUUACUUAAUUUUAAAGUUUUUCAUUUCAUAACCGCUUCCAUUAUUCGCUAAUAUUGCAAUACAAUAAAUAUAUGUAAUCAUUAGAAAAAAUAAGGGUAUUUUGGGCAUCACCAAAAACAAUUUGGAUAUCAUUUUCAUUUUGUCAUUCUUCAUUUUAAAUGUACUCUUAUUAUAAUUUUUAUUUUAUUAUUGGAGAUGGCUUCUACCUUGAUGGAUGGAAUUGGUUUGCUCAAACCAAUACAAAUGAAGCAUUACUAAAUUAUUGUCAAUAACAAUGUUUGUUUUCCCUUGGAUAUAAGUGAUUUGGAUGUUGUCUUUGGUAUUAUUUGAAUUGUAUUCUAACUUUUUAAUUCAUUUGCUAUUUACUUUAUGUUAUUUUAUGAAUAGUUUUCAACUUUUUUCAAUUUUUCUUGUUUUGAUCGGUUGCUAUUAAUGAUAAUAGUGGUUUGUAUGGUGCUACUUCAGAUUUCUUUUUUUCCAAUUUAAUACUUCUAUUUCAGUUAUAAAUGUGUCAUCAUUUUUUGUAUAUUGAAAUCCAUUGGCUGCAAUAUGAAAAAUUCUUUAUAUUGGCAAAGAGUGCAUAAUUGUAAAAUUUGCUCGUGAUAUUUUUAUGAAGAUAUACAGAUGAAUAAGUGUUCUCCUCUCCUUGUAUGUUUCUCCAUUUUCUAGAGACUGUCUAUAUUUAAACAUUGAAUUUUUUUUUACAGUCUCAACUGAUGACUAAUGAGAAAUUUUUCAUGCUUCAAUUAAGAAAUUUUGAUAUGUAUAAUAAUUGGAGAUGGAGUCUAAGGGUAGGUAAAUAGUUUUUAAUGAGCAAUUUUUAAUUAUAAUUGCCAAUACUAUUAUGAUGUAAUCAAUUGGAGUGUUUUACUUCUUUUAAUUAAUGCCACAUUAAAAUACAAUAAUUCUAAUUAAAAGAUAUGAGGGUAAUUUAGGGAUAACAAAAACUAAGAUAAAAAAAAAGUGCUUACACUUACACUCCCUAAUACCAAGAGUGGAGUCCAAGGUUAGGUAAAUAGUUUUUAAUGAGCAAUUUUUAAUUAUAAUUACCAAUACUAUUAAGAUGUAAUCAAUUGGAGUGUUUUAUUUCUUUUAAUUAGUACCACAUCAAAAUGCAAUAAUUCUAAUUAAAAGAGAUGAGGGUAAUUUAGGGAUAACAAAAAUUAAAAUAAAAAAGUGCUUACACUGACACUCCCUAAUAACAAGAUUCAUACUUUUUAUAUAGUAAUAAUAAGACAAUUUAAAGUCCUUAAACUGAUAUUUUAUGGAUGAUAAAGUGAAUAGGCUGAUUUAAGAUGAAUCAAUACCAGUAGUUUUCUUCAAAGGGUAAUGUAAUUUUGCAUCCUUAAAGUAUUGGGAUCAAGAUUCUUUUUCUACAAGUUUUACUUGUGACUAUUUAGUCCCUAAAAAUCUAUUUUCUUGAUUAUUUUGACUCCAUUUAAAAGUGGUGAUUGUUGUUCUUAGAAGGAUGAAAAAAGCAUGCACAAUCUCUAGCCUAGUGAAAAAUAAGCAUUUGAAUGGAAAAUUAGAGGAUAACAAGAUUACACGAAAGUUUUUCUUCAAAAUGGGGAGAGAGAACACCUAGUUUGAUCAUUAAAUUUGUAAGUAUUACCUCAUUGAUUAUGAUUAGAAAUCUGGUUGACUUCUCAUCUCCUAAACUAUUAUGUUACUCUCCAUGUAGGUUGUUGGAUACUUUAUAAAAGUAUCAGACAAUCAAAUGCAUGAGCUAGUGUUGUAUGAGCUAAUGUCUGCCAACGAUGAGCCCAAGCGGGAUCCAAUGGAUUGAUAUGAUUUUCUUUGGCAUCUUCAAUGGUUUCAUUUCCUAUACACAUGAGCAGGUUUGAUGUUACAACAUUACCAUAUUCUAUAUUAGGUCACGUUUUGAGUUUGGAGCCAAUCUGUGGUGGUGGUGAUCAAUGUCUAAUUGGGAAUCAUUUUCCUUGCAACCUUCUUAGCUUAAAUUUAAUGUAUUCUGAGGCUUCAAUUUUACUUUCUGAAGGGAACAACCUCUUUAUUGUUGAGCUAUACUAAAAUUCAAGAAAAACUAACAACAUGAGAGUCCAGUGUCCUUUUGUUUUGCUUUCUCAUCUCUCUCUCAAUUUUUUUCCCCUUUCUUUCCUUUUCUUCUUUUUAGUUUCAUGUAGAUUUUUUGCAGAAAACAUUAGGAGGACAUGAUAUCAACUCGUGUCCAGUGAAAUCUGACAUAAUAACUAUGUUAUCGUAAUUUUAUACUCCUGUCCUGAUUCCUGAAGCACUAAAUAUGUUCGUGGCAGUUCCUAGAAAGCUUUUCCUUCGCGUGCGUAAAAUAUUAUUUACUUUCUCCCUUGACCUUAUUUGAGUGGAAAACCCUGAUUCUUUUGCCACCUUAAAUAUUUCCUUUAGGUUUUUACCGAACCAAAAGAGUUGGCAUGAAAAAAUAUAUAUAUAUAUAUUACCUUCAGGAUGAAUCCAUGUUUUAUAACCAAUUAGGAGGACGUAUUUUAUAACCCCCCUUAAAUAUUUCCUUUAGGACGAAUCCAUGAAAAUAUAAAUUACCCUGCAGCUUUCUGACUUACUGCAUAUAAUUGGUUUCUUCGUUCCUGGGUAGGUAAUGUUUCUUUUCCGUGCUAAUUGAUUUUGACAGUGCAACCUCUGGAUUCUUUAGGAAGAUACCUUGUGAAAGUAGUAUGUGCAGCGUAAAUCCUUGUGAUCAGCCAAACAAAAUUUCGAAAUACCAAUCUGUAAAACCUCCAGACUCAUUGGAAGAUUCCUUAUGAAUGUGGUAUGUGCAGAGCUAAUUUAAAUGCCUAUAUCAGCUAAGUAAAAGUUUGAAAUUCCAACUCAUAAACUUGGAAAACACUAAAAAACAAACCCAGAUAGGUCUCAUGUGUUCUGAAAAGGGACUAGGUUUGAAAGCAUUGAACUCAUUUGACUGCAAGUGGGAAUGUAUGGUUUUCCUUCGUAAGUCCUAGUAUAUGCAUUUACGGUCGAGAAUUCCUCUUGGUUUAUGUAAGAAUUAAUGCUUGGCUUAGCUGAUCCAGAAUUAUAGCUCCCAUUGCUAGCGUUUUGAAUACAAUGCAAGAUUUGGACCGAAAAUGACUGGACAAGAGUUUUAAUUCUCAAGUCCUAUGUGGAAAAACUAAGCCUUUCACAUAAAGCAGAAGAAUGUACUUUCAUCCAUUACUCACACGAACAUCCCAUUGUACCAGUAGAUUUAAAAAGUAACCAAGGAUGAAAAGAAAGUACCGUGGAUUAGUCUCUGAACACCCCCCCCCCCCCCAAAAAAAAAAAAACUCCUCCUUCCCACCCCAAAAAUAGAGAAAAUCUUGUUCAAGCAAAUUUUGUGUCACCAUGUCAAUUAAAGAAAUUCUUUUCACAAGAGCUUAUGCUGAUGAUAAUGAUCCUUGUUUUCGGUCCUGUUCACUUUACAUUCUCUAAGGAAGUGAACCAUAACUUAGGGGGAUAGUGAUUGCGUACUAACUGUCCAACGCAAGAUAAAUUAGUUCCAGCAUAAAACAGGAUUAUGACAUCCUUAAGAGAAGAUAUUGUAGUUCACAAAAUUCAUCAAUUUAGGUUCUGAAUUUCAAAUAGUUAGUCUAAAAGCUAUGUGCUGGCUAGUCAAAAUUCGGCCUUUCAAGAAAUAUAACAUCGAAUAUUUUAGUUACUCUAGAUGUUCGAGGUCCCUAUUACCCAACACCAAAUGCAAAUUCAAUGAUCUUGUGUAUGUGAUAUCCUAGCAAGGAUUUUUCUUUUUCCAAGUGAAAUUAUGUAAGAAAUUUGGUUGUUUUGGUUGUCAGGGCACUUGAAGGAAGUCCGGAUGGUGGUUUAAACUGGCAUAUUUUGGAUGAGAAAACUUCUCAAACCUUUAAAGAACGCUUUCAGCGGAAAGUACUUGAGGUCAAAUCACCAGGAAUUCUAGCAAAUGCCUUCAGGUAAACUUGACAGAGUUUCUUGAGUCGCUUCUAAUUUGGUUUUAUGUAAUCUUUGCACACAAUAUUUUAAUGGAUCAUGAUCGUUAAAAUUGCAGGUUAAGGUUCGCAGCAGUAAGAGAUCCAACAGCAACUUCAAGGGUUCCAGAAUCCAGAUAGGUAGUAUUGACUUCUAUUCAAAAGCAGAGUCUACCUCUUAAGAAUAAAAUGGUCAAACAUUGGUCUGGUUGUCCUGCUAUGGCUUCAUCCACAUCUUCACUACAAAUUAGGGGGAAAAUCUUAUGCCAAGCCAUUGAACUUCUCCAUCCUUGGUUUAUUUAUUCCGUACCAAUCCCAUGAACCAUGUAUAAGGCUUAAUUGCCAUGAGGGGUAACUUUUUAUGUUGCUUGCAGAUCUGAGAUGCAAGAAAAAAAAAGCAGAGAGUGGAGGAAAGUGCAUAGUUGAUGUCGAGUUGUAAGAACUUGGAGUUACCAUUCUGUUAUGCCCAUAGCAUUUUUAGAAUAAGAUUGCUUUUGAUUGAUAAUUGUUUCAACAGCACAGAUGAUAAUAUGUGGUAUAAUUGUUUGAGUUCUAGUAUCAGUUCAUUAUGUUCAUGUACGGUUGGCUGGACAAGGAAGACAAAUAGUAAUCAGUUGUUCUCCAGGCUGCCCUUAUACCUGAUUUGUGAAAUGAACCCCAUAUGAUAUGCAUGGAAUGUUGCUCUCACAGUUUAUUCAUUUUAAGUCUUGCUCUGUGUAUCUGUCUAUAUACAAGUGGCUAAAAAGCUCUGCAUUUCAUAGACGGUUGAAUGUUUUCAAUUUUCCCGACUUCUCCGUCCUUACAUUUUCGGGAAUAGAAUUGCACGCUGAUAACAGUAAAUUUGUACACAAAAUUGGUAAUAUAAAAAUUACGUACUUAGGUCAACUUCAUGAUUCUCAUUCCAACGUACAAAGUGUAGAAUUCUGCUGCACCGCUUCACCUCUCCUCUUCUGGGCAUCCUCCACCUUACUCCUCAGCCCUUCCUUUUCUUUCUUAAGACUCCAAGAGUCUCCUCCCUUGCUGUACCUCAGAUCACUCCCCUUAAGACCUACUACAUUAGAAGGAUUCCAUAUAAAGGUGAAAUUGCAAGCCUCAUAUCUGUUCUUGAUAGGUAGAGCUCACCAGUCACCAUUGUAACGAAUAUGGAACAAAUGUAUUUGCCAAUGUUAAAUCAGCAGAAGUUAGAAGCCGAAGACUGACUCAUUUUGCUUAAAAAAGUUUGAUCAUAUUUUUCAUUUAUUAGAGCAUCAACAUGAACAGUGCAAGCUAAUUGUUGUUCUGGCUUUUGUCAGGUAACAAUGAGUUUUUUAACAGUUAAGGGUUAGUCAACUGAAGAUGCACUUGCCCGUCAAUUUCAUUCUUUUCCAUCGUGUGUCCUUCAUGCGCCACUGCUUCCUAUUUAACAUAUUUUGAUGUGAGUAAGUAGCUAAUGGAAAACACUAUUCAAACAGAAUCAUCAACUGAAAACAGGAUUAUGUGUUUUGUUUGGUAAUAAGUAUUCUGAGGAGGUGCUUGAUUAAGCAAUGAAUGAACAAGAAUUCUGGGAGCACAACUUUCAUAUUUAUGCAUCGGUGGCUUGUGGGAAAUCUCAUUUGCAAGUCAAUUAGAAAAGCAAGUGUAUCUUGAAGUCCUGCUAUGCUUGAAAGAUACUAGUCAAACCUGCAUUCUGCAGGAUUUCAGCAGGUUACGAAUCAGACAUGUAUAUCAGCCUAUCAGGUUGACAACCGACUUGCAUAAGUGCUUGAGAAUGGGGAAAUUUUCUCCAAAUUUAAUGCAGAUUUUUCGUAAAGAUAUUUUAGAUAAUGAGUAAAGAUUUUGGAGAUAGGCUAGACAAAUACAAAGCCACUGAGCAAGCUGUACAAACUACAUAUGGCUUGCUCAGUUGAUCCAUGCCCUUCUUUGCUUCAUCUCAUGUGCUUGCUUUAUGCCAGGAAGGGCCAAAUUUUGUGUUUUCUUUUGAAAGAACAGUUGGAAUAUUGGUCCUGUAGGUAACUGAAUGAUAUGAUCUGCGGCGAGUCAUGCAUGAGAUGUCAUAUUGCAUUUUUAAAAAGAUUAUCAUGAUUUUUUCAGUAGCCUUAGAGAUUGAUACUCGAAGAGGUAGGAAUACAACAUGAGAGAUCAUUAAUUAUUAAUACAAUCAAAUUGAUCUUCUUCGGAAUUUUUUUUUCCUUUUGGCCGGAGGGAGUGGGGCUGGUGGUAGAAUUUGAAGCGAACAACUCACAAUGAUAUCCUUUUGGGGUCUUAUUUCAACAUCAGUCUCCUGAUUCACUUUCACAUGUGGCAGUCAAGCCUAUCCAGAGCAGGAAUAAUUUUUCUCAGCCUUAAUCCAUUGGAACAAAUUGUUGAAAUUCUUGCCAGAGCUCCCAUCUUUGGUAACACUGUUGAUAACCUUGGUUUUUAAUUUUAAGGCCCUUUUUUUGUAUUCUCCAACAGUGAGAAGCUGCUCAAUUUUAUUCUUUAUUUCUUCUCGUGCAAUGAUUCCAUUGGC